CUCGGACCCCAGCAAACCCACGAGCAAGUUAGUUUAGGGGAAAAUGAACACAUAUGUGCUUAGAUGGCAAAAAAGAACCAAGUGGCUUGGCAGGUGGGGCUAAUCAAGAAACAGCCACAGUGAAGGGAGGGGCGGUCCAGAUGUUUUUAGAUGUGAUCGACCUCAAUUGGGAAAAUAUGAAUAUGAGUUUCUGCGUGGGCUGGCCCAUGAGCUUCUUCUGAAAAGUAUGUGAUAUUUUUCUCCUUUCGGAUAACACACCCAUGGUGGACAGGAAAAGUGGCUUUUCCAUCCUUCUCCUAGAGAGAUUCUCUCGAUAAUUCCUGCUUCUGGCUGAUAACCUUUCGGGAAUAAGAUAGCGUGAGACGAGUCUCUCCAGCUGACCCUGAGAGCUUAGCUGUCUUGAAAAAAGCCAAGGAACCAAUGCCUUCAGUUGCUGAGGGUCUUCGGGCUAUUCCCUGGUUUCACUGAGUGGUAUCAGAGGAUGCUUUUGAAAUGGAAGAGAACUUUUAUAAAAACAAAGACAAGCCCCAGACACAAAGAGACCCAUUUGGACUCAGAUCCCUCAGUAAGGAAGAUGUGGCCGUGGAGAAAGAGGACCCUUUUCCAUACCCUCCCGACCUGGUAGCAGGGCCUGGGGCCAGACUGUCUAACAAGGUAUAGUACCAUCCCUGGUGUGUGUGUGUGUUUUUUUUUUCAGGGUGUGUGAUGAGAACCAAGAGCCAUAAUGCACUUGAACUUGAAGUAUGUAACCCCUGAAGGUGGUAUAGGCCAGUCCAAUAGAGCGUCUCAAGAAAAAAUUAUUUGGUUUGCAAUCCCCCUGUCCCCAUGCUGAG
This 833-nucleotide long non-coding RNA is filed under the name Capra hircus (goat). RNAcentral's name for it is "lncRNA (ENSCHIG00000005125.1)". Lineage: Eukaryota; Metazoa; Chordata; Mammalia; Artiodactyla; Bovidae. The record is from RNAcentral.